AUGGUACGGCCUCCCCCUCCUCUCCCACCCCCCAUCUCCUCCACACGGUACGGCCUCCCCCUCCUCCCCCACCCCCCAUCUCCUCCACACGGUACGGCCUCCCCCUCUCCCUCUCUACCCCCCAUGGUACGGCCUCCCCCUCCCCCUCCCUAUCCCUCCCUCCCCCCUCCCGUCUCCCCCCCACGCAGCACACAGCAGGUCCUCCCCGCCUCACCGAGGGCUACGCGAGAGCGUCAGGGAAGAGGACGAGCGGGUGCGUGGGUCCACCAGCAGGCACCCCCCACCCGCCCCGGGCCGGGCACCGCCCUGACCUCCACCCCGUCGGGCCGGGCUCCGGGAGCCGCUCAGGCGGCGGGCCCCCUGCCCCGCCCCCCCCACGUCACCUCUGGCCAGUGGCCCUGGGACCCUCCGACCGGAAGUGCGUGGCGCCCACGUGGCCCGGGCGCGACCGGAAGGACGGAGGGACGGCAAGGCCUCCGCGGGGGGCGCGGCGGGGCCGGUGAGGCGGCAGGGCUGAGGGGCCCUGGGGCCCGGCCGAGCGCCGCCGGGGGCCCGUCGGUCAGCAGCGAGGCGGCGCGGCGUCGGGUGGGCCAACGGGGCCCGCGGGGCGAGCGCGGACACGGACGGCGUCGGCCUCAGCCGCCACCCAGCAGCCUGCGGCCCCGAGGCGCAGGCGCAGCCCCAAGGCACAGGCGCAGGAAGGCGGCCCCAGGGCGCAGACGCGGGCGCAGGGGGCCGCGGCGGGGGGGCGGGGGGGGGGCUACCCCAGGGCGCAGGCGCGGGCUCGGGACAGCAGCCCCUGGGAGCAGCGCGGGGCACGCGGGGCCGCACAGGGCCGCGGCCGCAGGACCCCUCGGCCCUCAGUGUCCGGGAGAGCACGCGCAGAGGUGGGAAGCGUCCCGCGAGCUGUGGCCGCGGACGGAGAGAACGACCCUGACCGCGAACCGUACGGGCUCUGCUGCGGGGCGGAGGAGCCUGCUCUGGGCGUGCGAGGCUGCGACGGCCACACAGCCGUUGGCGUCCACGGGACAGCUUACGGAACGCUCGGAGUUUUAG
This 1056-nucleotide long non-coding RNA is filed under the name Canis lupus familiaris (dog). RNAcentral's name for it is "lncRNA (ENSCAFG00845003759.1)". The record is from RNAcentral. Lineage: Eukaryota; Metazoa; Chordata; Mammalia; Carnivora; Canidae.